UAGGGAAUAUUGCACAAUGGGGGAAACCCUGAUGCAGCGACGCCGCGUGAAGGAUGAAGUAUUUCGGUAUGUAAACUUCUAUCAGCAAGGAAGAAAAUGACGGUACUUGACUAAGAAGCCCCGGCUAAAUACGUGCCAGCAGCCGCGGUAAUACGUAUGGGGCAAGCGUUAUCCGGAUUUACUGGGUGUAAAGGGAGCGUAGGCGGUACGGCAAGUCAGAAGUGAAAGCCUGGGGCUCAACCCCGGAAUUGCUUUUGAAACUGUCGAACUAGAGUGUCGGAGGGGUAAGCGGAAUUCCUAGUGUAGCGGUGAAAUGCGUAGAUAUUAGGAGGAACACCGGUGGCGAAGGCGGCUUACUGGACGAUCACUGACGCUGAGGCUCGAAAGCGUGGGGAGCAAACAGG
Molecule: ribosomal RNA, 404 nt
Filed under: uncultured bacterium
Lineage: Bacteria
Description: bacterial SSU rRNA
Rfam family: Bacterial small subunit ribosomal RNA
Source: RNAcentral